This 490-nucleotide ribosomal RNA is filed under the name uncultured bacterium. Its description in RNAcentral is "partial 16S ribosomal RNA". It matches the Rfam family "Bacterial small subunit ribosomal RNA", at positions 29 to 506 of the family's 1533-position model. The record is from RNAcentral.
GUGCACGCUGGCGGUAGGCCUAACACAUGCAAGUCGAACGGCAGCACAGUAAGAGCUUGCUCUUACGGGUGGCGAGUGGCGGACGGGUGAGGAAUACAUCGGAAUCUACUUUUUCGUGGGGGAUAACGUAGGGAAACUUACGCUAAUACCGCAUACGACCUACGGGUGAAAGCAGGGGAUCUUCGGACCUUGCGCGAUUGAAUGAGCCGAUGUCGGAUUAGCUAGUUGGCGGGGUAAAGGCCCACCAAGGCGACGAUCCGUAGCUGGUCUGAGAGGAUGAUCAGCCACACUGGAACUGAGAAACGGUCCAGGCCCCUACGGGAGGCAGCAGGGGGGAAUAUUGGACAAGGGGGGCAAGCCUGAUCCAGCCAUACCGCGGGGGUGAAGAAGGCCUUCGGGUUGUAAAGCCCUUUUGUUGGGAAAAAAAAGCAGCAGGUUAAACCCCCGCUGUUCUGACGGUACCAAAAGAAUAAGCACCGGCUAACUUCGG